UCCAGCCUGAACUGCAUAGUGAGACCUCGUCUCAAAAAGACAAAAACAAAACGAAACAAAAACCACAAAGUGUUGCUGUUGGUUGGAGCUGUCGGUUCUCCUGGAGGAGCGUGUCAUGCUGGCUUCCCCAUGUGAAUUUGGUCCUUAUCGCUGGAAGAGCUCGGGGCCUUGUCGUCACUGAGAGUGGCUGUGGGUCACUUUGCGGGAACUCUGGUCCUUACUUUGAGCAUCGCUUCCUGGCUGGGGAGGGGAAGAUGUGUGCUGCUCAGUCUCCGGGAGAAGCCGUCACGCUGGCUUCCUGACAUGAACUUGACUGUUCUCGUGGUUGGAGGAGCUCAGGACCUCAUCUUAGCUGAGGAUGGAUGGCUGUGCUCCCGAGCUGCUGGAACCCGGAGCCUCAAGCACGCCCAGCGCACCCCGCCCUGCCCCGAGGAGCUCCGGAGUCCGGAGGAUUGCGCAGGCGCGGCUCUGGCUCGGCUUCCCGGAUGACACAGCCGGAGUCCGGUGGCCGCUCUGCGGUUUGCUUCCCACGACUGCCGGGAAGGGAAGGAAAUGACAGAUUGUAGCUGCGAGCUGGUGAAAAUUAAGAGGUGCCUUUUCCCCAGUCUGAGUUCAUGGGUCCCUGAAUUCACCCUGGGUCCUGGAGGUGGUGACUGGAUCGAGGUCUGCACGGAGGGGGUUUUUCCUUGAGGGAAGGAUUAGGGAGGGCACUGGAUGCAGAGUCAUGCAGGCCUGGGUUCAAAUCUAGCUCUGCCUCUCUCCCUGGG
This 767-nucleotide long non-coding RNA is filed under the name Cavia porcellus (domestic guinea pig). RNAcentral's name for it is "lncRNA (ENSCPOG00000040448.1)". Lineage: Eukaryota; Metazoa; Chordata; Mammalia; Rodentia; Caviidae. The record is from RNAcentral.